GAUGAAGAACGUAGCGAAAUGCGAUACGUAAUGUGAAUUGCAGAAUUCAGUGAAUCAUCGAGUCUUUGAACGCACAUUGCGCCCUCUGGUAUUCCGGAGGGCAUGCCUGUCCGAGCGUCAUUGCUGCCCUCAAGCACGGCUUGUGUGUUGGGCCCCGCCCCCCGAUCCCGGGGGCGGGCCCGAAAGGCAGCGGCGGCACCGCGUCCGGUCCUCGAGCGUAUGGGGCUUUGUCACCCGCUCUGUAGGCCCGGCCGGCGCUUGCCGAUCAACCAAACUUUUUUCCAGGUUGACCUCGGAUCAGGUAGGGAUACCCGCUGAACUUAAGCAUACAAUAACGGAGGA
This 342-nucleotide unclassified non-coding RNA is filed under the name soil metagenome. RNAcentral describes it as "partial contains 5.8S ribosomal RNA, internal transcribed spacer 2, and large subunit ribosomal RNA". The stretch from base 1 to 120 matches the Rfam family "5.8S ribosomal RNA", at positions 35 to 154 of the family's 154-position model. The record is from RNAcentral.